This is a long non-coding RNA of Equus caballus (horse), 4821 nucleotides long. NCBI's taxonomy places the organism in Eukaryota, Metazoa, Chordata, Mammalia, Perissodactyla, Equidae. The record is from Ensembl.
CAUGGAACCCAGGACUGGCCAAUGAGACUAAAAUAGGGAACUUUAGCUUGGACCAGUGACAAAGACAAGACUUCUCUUUCUACUGGACUUGAAUCUAGACACGCUUGGGGGCUGUCAUGCAGAGAAAAUCUGUCAAUGAGAGUGCCCAACAGAAGAAGGUGAUAUCAAAAGACAAAGAAAAACAAAGCACUAUUGACAUCAUUUGAGCUUCUGGAAUUUUCCAUUGGGUUAAUUAAUGACCCUCCCUCUCCACACAUAUAUGCAUUUGUUUGUUUUCUGCUUUGUUUUGUGUUUUGCUUAAAUCAGUUUAAAUUGAGUCUCUGUCACUUGCAAGAAAAGUCCCACUGGACAAACAACUUAGAAUUUUUUUUUUCUUCAAAAAUCACCAUGGACCCCUUCAACAGUGGGGCUGCUAUUUGAACACACCUGUUUGUGCCUUGACCUCACUCUUUUUUAUGUACAGACAAGGCAAAUCCUUUCCUGUCACUAAACACACCAACUCUCCACGCCACUGGCUUGCCCUUAAUGAUGCCGCCUGCCUCUCUCUAUACCAAUUUGUACCCUGUCCCUCCCACAGCACAGGACCUGCUCCACCCACCGUCCUGCUUUUCUAACACUGUCUACUCAAGUGAUCUUCAGCUACAAGACAGUAAACUUGACACUGAUCACAGUUUGGCAGCACCUUGCAAGGCAUUCCAGCUCACUGGCGCUCUGAAGUCACGCUUAUCUCCUCUUCCACUUCCCCUUGCUUUUUCCUAUUUGCAGUCGACAUAUAAAUUAAGGGUUUUGAACUACUGUAGCAAUAUGCUCAUACGCAGAUGCAAUCACCAUUCUAAAUGAUGGCUUUGCUCAUCCCCUGCUCGUCUUUAGAGAAUAAAGCCAGGCACGGUGGGAAUCCUCACAGUGCCAUCCAACCCAAAGUUCCUACUAUUCCGCAGGGGUUUGCUGGUGGUGUUUGUAAAAAUUCACAGAGAACUUUGCCUAAAACCUCCCAGUGGGGAAGGUAGAUGCAUGCAGAUGUCCUGAACCCCUCUCAAUGUCCUCUUGCACGUCACCUCCUCCUCCCCCGCUGCUCCUCUCCACUCGCUGACAUUCCAAAACCUUUCAAACAGUCAGGAACAUGGACAAAAGGAGGUGCCUGGUUACAUGCCCUGGGUAGGAUUCAUGCCUAUGCUGCUCCCCAGGGAGCAGAAUGCUACCCAGGUUGAUGUAUCCUGGUCUCCAGUCAGGAAGGCUUAGUUCAAAAAGCAUCCUUAAUUUUUAUUAUAAUAUGUUUUCACCGAAAAUCCUGUUUCCCUGGUGUUUAGACAAGAUGGGUAUUUUUCAGGAAAUGGGGAGAGACAGGCACACAUGUGUACAGCACAGUGGGUUACAACGCAGACUCUGGAGUCAGGAUGUCUGAGCUUAAAUCCAGGGCUGACCACUUGGACGCGCUAUUUGACACACUUUUCUUAUUUGUUUAAUAGGGAUGAUAUUAGAAGCUGCAUCAUAAGGCUGCUGGGAAGAUCAGCAAUGGUAAUGUAUGCAAAGCACUCAGCCCAGUGCUUGGCACACAGCAAGUGCUAGACAGACAUUUGCUACUGGGGAGCUGACUUCCCAAAGUGACCGAGGAGCCUGGUGGAUGCGAGAGCUCAUGAUGUCCAAAUGGUCUCUCGGAAGUCUGGGGAAGCUGGUGGACCACCCUGUCCCCCGAGUGUGGGAGUUAGGCAGUGCUGUAUUCAGUCCUGCCAGAGGGAUUCUCCAAGGGCCCUGCCUCUCUUCCACAGGCUGUUGCCAGGACCAAAGACAUGCCCAUCACAUGGGUUGGCUUCCAUUGGAGGUAUCUUUGCCUCAGCUGACGACAUGAACCCUUCUCUUCUAGCAACCUGUUUGUGUUGAUCAAAAUGUGUGAUUGCAGGUCCCAAGAAGAAGCUCUAUCUGUGGCAGCAGUUCUCAGUCAGAGGCAAUUUUACUCCCCAGGGGACAAAUGACGGGGUCUGGAGACAUUUUUGAUUGUAUCAAUUGGGGAGUGUGGGCUGCUCCUGGCAUCUAGUGGGCAGAGGCCAGGGAUGCUGUUGAACAUCCUACAAUGCAGAGGGCAGCCCCCCACAACUAAGAAUCAUCCAGCCCAAAUGCCGAUGGUGCCCAGGUUACGUAACUCUGGUCUAUACCUGUGUCUCUUGAAGUUUGGUUCUUGGGCUACCUGCAUCAGAAUAAGUUUGGGCUACGGGUUAGAAAUGCACAUUUUGGAGCUGAACCCCAGACUUACUAAGCGAGACUCUCUGGGGCUCCCUGCUGAUUCUGAAGAAGACCAUGGUUUAAUGGGAUUCCUUCCACGUAAGGAGCUUCAGAUGCUGUCUAGCUCUAAAAGUGGCAAAUGCCCACACUCCUUGAGGCAGACAGAACAUUCAAGUCACAAUUUUUUUAAAUCCUUGCCAGUACCAGUGCCACCCCCACUAAAACUGUUGAACAAAUAUUUAAAGACUAUCCAUUUGAAAAGGGUCCAGAUUAUUAGCCUCUCGAGGGUACCCACACUUUCCAGUCUCAUUCUACUGAUGAGGGUGGGCAGCGAAGUCCCCAGAUGGAUGUCCGCAGCCCGAGUUUCUCAUGGACUUGUAGCUUCUGAGAGCAGAGCCAGACGGCUGAGCCCUCAAAGUCUUGCUCCACAAACUGUGGUCCUGGAACCCGCAGCAGCAUCCUCCGGGAGCCUGUCAGACACGCAGAUUCCGUGGUUCCACUGCAGCCCUACUGAAUCAGAAUCUGCGUUUUAGCAAAAUCCCCAGUGAUUCACAUACGCAGGAAAGUUUGAGACGCGCUGUUCUCACACAGCGAGUCUCCACCACGCCCGCACAUUGGGAUCACCUGGGCAAUUUUUACAAAGUACUGACGCCUCAUCCCGCUCCCAGAGAUCGUUGUAAUUGUUCCAACGUGUGAUCUGGGCAUCGCAAUUUUGAAAGUCUCCUCAGAUAACUCUAAUGAAAAUCCAAGGUCAAGAACUACUUAGAAAGACGUGACGACAUCCAAUCCGGAGCAUCCUUGAAAUGAAAACAAAUAUUCUUAUGAAAACUGUGUCAACCCAGGGAGUGGUUCCUCGGCAGUUCCCUCCUAAAGGGUCCCAGAGCAUCAUGACUCGGUCGAGGAUAAACUGAGGCUAUCCAGGCUGGUUUUUAUCAAGACUCACCGGAAGCCAUUCUUCCCUGAGGUCCUGCUGCCUCCUUGGAAAACAGACACAAGUCCUCUCUGCCCUCUGCUCCCACACACACCUGGCAAUGUUGCUGCUUCUCCAGGUUCAGCCUGCGGUGAGGGAAGCCAAGCCCCUCAUGGGGUCUCCCCACAUCUACACCUUCCCUGCAUCCCCUCCAACCCUCCCCCGUGCCUGCAGCCUGGAGAGUCUUUUUCUCAUCAGAGAUGGGGCGAGAGAGGGUCUUCCUGUCAUGCGUCUUAUUUCCUUCUAAAUAUUUUUCCUCUGAUAUGAGUCCUUUCUGUACCUGAAGGGUCUAGGCUAUUGAAACUUAAAGGCCAGGAAGAGAGUUCCUUUUCCCUCUCCUUUCUUCUAUCACAGGGAGGGGUAUGGAGAAAGACAGCACUCACACUGCUGAGGGAAGGGAGGGCCAAGAAGGCAAAAGAAAAAACAGUCAGCUCAUACUUUUAAAAUAUGAUCCUACCACACACUAAGAGACAGGCUCAGAGACGGGCAGCAUCUUGCCCAAAGAACAGAGCAAAUGCUUGUGGAUGAACUUGAACCAGAAAUUAGCAUCAAGAAUGUGAGAUAUGGGAGAAAAUUCAGACACCUUUUAAUCCAGUGGGUCCGGCUGUGAGUCAGAACCACCUGGUCUCACUCGGGGAAUCUGACUUUAACAAGAGCCCCAGGAAAUUGUUCAGUAGUAAUUCUGUCUCUUUGGAAAACAUUUUCCAGAUGAAGACAGUAAGGCCUAGAGAGACUAUGUUCUCACAGUUGUAAUUCAUAAUCUACCUAUUUCCAAAGAAAUUGAGGCUAUGUAUAACAAGUUCAUGGCCUCAAGACUAGAACAUGAUGCUUGGCUCCCAGCUCAGGGCUCCUUCUUCCAGAAACCAGCUUGUUGCCUAUCUUCCAUCCUGUCCACUCCUGCAAAGUGAAAAGUUUUAUCCAUUUUUUGCCAUUUGUAACCAAUUAAUUCCCCCAAAUUACCCAGAAGACCAUUAGGGUUGGGAGAGAAUUAGAAGCGCCUGUGGCCAGAGAUGGCUGCCAGGAGCAAGAAGUAUGUAAAUACAUAGUCAACAUCCAUCUACCCACCUACGGGGGGUGCAUGUUUGGGGCAAGCAGACUACAGAUAAUCCAAAAAUAUUAAUUUGACUGCUAAUUAAUUACUCGAUGAGUCCUAGGAAACAUUGGACAAUGUCAUUAACUUUUUUAAAUUUUGGUCAAGAAAUAAUAAUUGAAUACUCCUAUACACCCUCCCCCAUGCUCAGACUGGGGAAACAGGCGUGAAACUGUCAUCUAAGGCCCCUAGGCUCAGGGAAUUUACAUUUUUAUGGGAAGACAGGUCAAAACACAAGUAAACAUGAAAAUACAUGAAUUAAUCCUUAUAUGUGGAAAAUGACAUCAAGAAAGCAAGCAAAAGAUUGAGCUAGAAGAGGAGUUGGCAGACUUUUUCUAAAAACGGUCAGACGGUAAAUAUUUUACACUGUGUGGACCAUACCAUCUGAAUCACGACCAAGCAGCCAAAGUCAAUCCGCAAAGGAAUGGGGCUGGCCGUGUUCCAACACACUUUAUUUACAAAACCAGGCUGUGGUCAGUUGUGGCCCAUGUAGUUUGGUGACCCCUGAGCACGAUGCGUGCGGGGUGGAGGGUAGAGACCAGUG